Molecule: ribosomal RNA, 253 nt
Filed under: uncultured bacterium
Lineage: Bacteria
Description: partial 16S ribosomal RNA
Rfam family: Bacterial small subunit ribosomal RNA
Source: RNAcentral
GACGUAGGGCGCGAGCGUUGUCCGGAUUUAUUGGGCGUAAAGAGCGUGUAGGCGGCUUUGCAAGUCCGUUGUGAAAACUCGAGGCUCAACCUCGAGACGCCGGUGGAAACUGCAAAGCUAGAGUCCGGAAGAGGAGAGUGGAAUUCCUGGUGUAGCGGUGAAAUGCGCAGAUAUCAGGAAGAACACCCGUGGCGAAGGCGGCUCUCUGGGACGGUACUGACGCUGAGACGCGAAAGCGUGGGGAGCGAACAGG